Molecule: ribosomal RNA, 472 nt
Filed under: uncultured bacterium
Lineage: Bacteria
Description: partial 16S ribosomal RNA
Rfam family: Bacterial small subunit ribosomal RNA
Source: RNAcentral
GACGAACGCUGGCGGCGUGCUUAACACAUGCAAGUCGAACGAUGGACCCGGAGCUUGCUCUGGGGGAUUAGUGGCGAACGGGUGAGUAACACGUGAGUAACCUGCCCUGGACUCUGGGAUAAGCGUUGGAAACGACGUCUAAUACCGGAUAGGACCUUGGAUCGCAUGAUCUGGGGUGGAAAGUUUUUUCGGUCUGGGAUGGACUCGCGGCCUAUCAGCUUGUUGGUGAGGUAAUGGCUCACCAAGGCGUCGACGGGUAGCCGGCCUGAGAGGGUGACCGGCCACACUGGGACUGAGACACGGCCCAGACUCCUACGGGAGGCAGCAGUGGGGAAUAUUGCACAAUGGGCGAAAGCCUGAUGCAGCAACGCCGCGUGCGGGAUGACGGCCUUCGGGUUGUAAACCGCUUUUAGUAGGGAAGAAGGGCUUCGGCUUGACGGUACCUGCAGAAAAAGGACCGGCUAACUACGUG